AUCCAAAAGCCAAACAGUUAAUGAUCAACAGUCAACAGACAACUCAGACAAACAAGCAAAGCAAUGCAUCAAGCACCAAUGUGCAAGCCACAAACUCAAUUCAAAUGAGCUAAAAGCAACCUACAAAACAAGUCAUGGUUAGUCAAGAUAAACCAAAUAGUCAACUCAAGCAAUGUGAAUCAAUUCCUCAAGGCCAUAUGCUUCUUAACCUGCAAACCAAACUCAAACAUGAGAAGCAAACCACUAGGACAAGGCCU
This 257-nucleotide long non-coding RNA is filed under the name Lathyrus oleraceus (garden pea). RNAcentral describes it as "Pisum sativum (pea) long non-coding RNA (PSAT_LNC000244)". The record is from RNAcentral. Lineage: Eukaryota; Viridiplantae; Streptophyta; Magnoliopsida; Fabales; Fabaceae.